This 440-nucleotide ribosomal RNA is filed under the name uncultured bacterium. Its description in RNAcentral is "partial 16S ribosomal RNA". It matches the Rfam family "Bacterial small subunit ribosomal RNA", at positions 338 to 795 of the family's 1533-position model. The record is from RNAcentral.
CCUACGGGUGGCAGCAGUGGGGAAUAUUGCACAAUGGGGGGAACCCUGAUGCAGCGACGCCGCGUGAGUGAAGAAGUAUUUCGGUAUGUACAGCUCUAUCAGCAGGGAAGAAAAUGACGGUACCUGACUAAGAAGCCCCGGCUAACUACGUGCCAGCAGCCGCGGUAAUACGUAGGGGGCAAUCGUUAUUCGGAUUUACUGGGUGUAAAGGGAGCGUAGACGGUUAUGCAAGUCUGAAGUGAAAGCCCAGGGCUCAACCAUGGGACUGCUUUGGAAACUGUAAAACUGGAGUGCAGGAGAGGUAAGCGGAAUUCCUAGUGUAGCGGUGAAAUGCGUAGAUAUUAGGAGGAACACCAGUGGCGAAGGCGGCUUACUGGACUGUAACUGACGUUGAGGCUCGAAGGCGUGGGGAGCAAACAGGAUUAGAUACCCGGGUAGUC